GAACGUUUCACCCUGCAGGACAACGAGCCAGAGCCUUGCAUACCAGGGGCAGGCAUUAGACCACACCCGCUUUGACUGUUAGACUCAUCUGCAGUGUUUGUGCCACUAGUGAGAUGCGCCUAAUGGGGGACUUCAUCCCCCACCUCACCCUGGUGUAAGUAGUUUACUGGAUGGGAAUUUGGGCUCCUAGAAGUCUUCAUCUUACUAUUUAUGUACCACCUCUGAAUUGAACAGGUGUUAUAAAAGGGUAAACUGAGGCUAAAAGCUACCUCAAGAAGAUGCCUGGAGCAGGGUUCAAGAUCAAUCUUGCUUUUAGUCUCAGCCAUAAACCAUCUGAGCUUUGGGUAAGUCACUUGACCACCAGGCCGGUUUCCUCAUUAUGACAGAAUGGAAUUCUGAAUUCCCUUUCUGUUGUAAUAGUCUGAUUGCACAAUUUUCCCUUAGAGAAGUUUCAUACCUGUUAGAUCUCCUGCUGCCAGGAGCUAACCUCCUGGGAGACAGGUCUUAUCGUCAUCCAGGCAUAUAGGAGGGUGUUGGGAAAACACUUGUAGUGGAUGCUGGAUUGUGCCAUUCAGAGCCAGCUCCCUUUGCUAUUGAAGAACUUAUUUCCCUACAUGUCAAGACUUCUGCUGGCUGAUGGCCCCCAGCUGUGAGCUCUUUCAGGCAUCACCUUUGGCUGCAAAAGGCUCCCUCUCCCGAAGUUACUACCUGCAUCCCUGGAGGCAGACUUCAUCUCAUGUCUUCAUCCAAAGUUUGAACAAAUUGGCUAAGAAGGUGCUAGACAUGUAAAGGGACUAUUUUUUUUCUUAAUUCAAAUGUAGGAGGAGUAUGGAUCUCCAGGAACCAGAAGAGCUGCAUACAUAUAGAUUUGCUGGGUUUUCAUAUUCCAAGAAAGACUCUGGCAUUUCAAUACAGAAACAAAGCUCCAAAUUUGGAAGCAGCAGUGAAACUCCACAGCAGUGAAAAGAAAGAAAAAAAGACUAAGCCAGGAAACCUCUUGAAGGCCCAGAGAAGUAGGCACGUAUAUAAGAUGCCCAGACUGGAGCUGCCACAUAGGAGACACUUGGUGAGCUCUCAAGGGAGAUUGGAUGUCUAUGGAGAAUCCACGUACCUAUAUCAUAUUAGUUGGAGCAAAACACAGACUCUGGGAUGA
Molecule: long non-coding RNA, 1153 nt
Organism: Pan paniscus (pygmy chimpanzee)
Lineage: Eukaryota; Metazoa; Chordata; Mammalia; Primates; Hominidae
Source: Ensembl